Molecule: transfer RNA, 75 nt
Filed under: Mycolicibacterium cosmeticum
Lineage: Bacteria; Bacillati; Actinomycetota; Actinomycetes; Mycobacteriales; Mycobacteriaceae
Description: tRNA-Arg
Rfam family: tRNA
About the family: Transfer RNA (tRNA) molecules are approximately 80 nucleotides in length. Their secondary structure includes four short double-helical elements and three loops (D, anti-codon, and T loops).
Source: RNAcentral
ACCGCCGUAGCUCAGCGGAUCCAGAGCGCCUGAUUUCGGCUCAGGGGGUUGGGGGUUCGAAUCCCUCCGGCGGUG